Molecule: unclassified non-coding RNA, 309 nt
Filed under: Hevea brasiliensis (rubber tree)
Lineage: Eukaryota; Viridiplantae; Streptophyta; Magnoliopsida; Malpighiales; Euphorbiaceae
Source: RNAcentral
AUCAAGGUGAAGUUUCAGUAGUUGUUCUUUGGGUCUUUUUGUUUGGUUGAUACUCUCAAAGGAAGAACUGUAUGAGUCUUCAGCUUCAUUUGGGCUAUAUGAGAAUGAGAUGUCGAGUUUUGCUAUGCCUAUUUCUGGUUUGUCUGGCAUUUCCUUGGUCCUUAAUUACUUUGGUUGAAGUGGCAGCUACUAGGGUUUUUCUGGUUUCUCUGUUCGGGGGCUUGGUUCUUUUUGACAGGAUGGUUUGCAUGCCACUUUUUUGCGGAUCUCACCCAUUUUCUAGUUCUAUGUCUUUGUCUUGUGUUUAAG